Molecule: long non-coding RNA, 2054 nt
Organism: Lathyrus oleraceus (garden pea)
Lineage: Eukaryota; Viridiplantae; Streptophyta; Magnoliopsida; Fabales; Fabaceae
Exons: 2
Source: RefSeq, a predicted model, not a curated record
GCAAUUUACUUCAAGUGACAAGGAUUUUAUCCCUACCAUGAGUUUGCUCGAUACUAUUUAUCGGGUAUGAACUUAGUGUUGUCAAAUCGCGGUAGCAGAAUUUGAACAAUCACUAUUGUUUUGUGAUAUACUGUUUAGUAAAGAGGGUUGUUAUAGUGGUGCUAUAGCUUUGCAGUUAAGCUGAAUCUGAUCAAACUGCUAUUUUCUCCGAUCCGCGGUUGAAAGAGAAAAAAUAACUUUUACUGUCAAAAUGAUUAGAAAGAUAUUUUGGCAGAACUUUGACUCUUGAAACAUGAUGUCUCUAGUUUUCACUAGGGGAGGAGAAAUAACUGGACACAUUUCCAUUAUUUCAGUUUAUUUUAAAAAACCAAAUAUUUUUUGACUGUCAAAACAACAUAAUAUUUAAAAACAACAACAUAAAAAUACAAUUUAAAAGAAAAACCAAACAUAAAGGCAAAACAACAUGGUAACUUUUACGAAUAAACUUGUAAUAAAUAUUAAUUAAAUCAAAUAUUAAAAGUGUUAAAGGUAUAAAUAAACAAACAAGGUCGCAAUGUAUGCCAAUGUACCAAAUGCUGAGUCUGAAAUAAUAACAAUUUUUCAAAAUGAAAGAAGAAAGAUAUAUGUCACUGAUCUCAUUUACCUUUUGAGUCAUACAACUUCAUUGGCCCCGGUAAUAUAGCUUUCUCUUGUAGCUUGGGUGGUCCACUACUAGCGAAGUUCCCCAAUACCGUGAGCGAAUCUGUAGAGGUCUCCAUAACAGCUUGUAUUGGUUUCUGGCCAUUUUUUUACAUAAUUCAUUCUUGAACAUCCCCAGAUUAUUAUUAGUUACAACUGCUGGAGACUCAGCUGGAGAUUGAGCCGCCAUGCCAUAUAUGACAUGCUUCUCCAAGAGGUUACCAAGAGACACAUAUUCAGUUUCAGAAUCAGAAAUAGAUUAGAGAGCAUUCACCAAUGAAGAAAAGUUUACACUUUACAAGUUGAGGAGAGAGACCGAAUGAAGAGAUGUUCACACUUUUAUAAACCGAGGAGAGAGAGUGUGUUAAGAGAAAUAACAAUAUACAUAAUCCAUUCAAGUCGUGAAAUAAUAAUAAAUAUAAUUGAUUUAAAAACGUAUAAUUGAAAAUAGAUUAGAGUGCAUUCACCAAUGAAGAAAAGUUUACACUUUACAAGCUGAGGAGAGAGACUGAAUGAAGAGAUGUUCACACUUUUACAAACCGAGGAGAGAGAGUGUUAUACAGAAACGGUUGCAUGGAAGAGGAUGAGGUUGGAGCAUGGAAGAGGCAUGAGGUUGGAGCAUGAUUUCCCGCGUUUAGACUUAAUAAUGAGAUUCUCUUCCAUUAUUAAGUCUAAACGCAAGGGAUCAUGCUCCAACUCUGUCUCUCUUCCAAUCUCCAACCUCAUCCCUCUUUCAUGUUCCAAUCUCAUCCCUCUUCCAUGCAACCGUUUCUAAAUAACACAUACUCUUUUCUCGGUUUGUAAAAGUGUGAACAUCUCUUCAUUCAGUCUCUCUCCUCAUCUUUUAAAGUGUAAACUUCUCUUCAUUGGUGAAUGUUAUCUCUAAUCUAUCUUCAAUUAUAAGUUCUUGAAUCGAUUAUGUUUAUUGUUAUUUCUGUUCUUGAAUCGAUUAUGUAUAUUGCUCUUCUUGAAUAGAUUAUGUUUAUGGUUAUUUCUUCAAUCUGGAAACAGUUCAUUUCUGAAUUCUUUUUUGGUUUUAGAGUUCAACACCGAUCAAAUAGAAGACAAAAAUAUUUCCGCAAACACCUCGUCUAACUCUGAUUCUGAAACUGAGUACCAAUCUUGUGAAAGUGGCACAUGCUGUUAUGGAGACCACAGUUGGAUUCGCUCACGGCAUUGGAGAGCUUCACCCAGUAGUGGACCACCCAAGCUACAAGAGAAAACUAUAUUACCCGGGUCAAUGAAGUUGUACGACUCAAAAAGUGAAUGAGAUUAGUGACAUAUAUCCUUUUUUUUAAUUUUGAAAAAUUGUUAUUAUUCCAAACUCAGAAUGCAUAUGGUGUACAUUAGCAUGCAUAAUGACCUGAGUAAUCACA